RNAcentral lists this transfer RNA (66 nucleotides) under Macrocentrus camphoraphilus. RNAcentral's name for it is "tRNA-Asp". The record is from RNAcentral. Lineage: Eukaryota; Metazoa; Arthropoda; Insecta; Hymenoptera; Braconidae.
UAAAAAUUAGUUAAAAUAUAAUAUUAAAAUGUCAUUUUAAAGUAAUUAUAAAUAUAAUAUUUUUAU